CUAGAACAAUAAAGACUGCUUUAUACAUAUUCCUAGCUCCCUGCGCGUUCUGCCACUUACUGUGUUCGGCAUCAAGAAUUGUUUCCUGUAGGCAAAGUACGUGGACUAAGUACACCGCCACUCCAACAGACUCAUCGUGGCCAGCUAUGAUUUGGAAGCUCACCGCUGCCACUUUGCUGCUUUACGGUUUCUUCAACACGCUCUCUACCAGCAUGGGUUUCUCUGACGUAAGAUAUAUGCGGUAGCGUCUCAAGUAUAUGGCAGCGAUUGCAAUCAAGGAUAUUUCAACGGCCGAUAAGGCGGGAAAGUUGCAGCUCAACGCCACACAAAAUGGUACUCGGCCACGGAGGAAGACAUUUAGGAGAAGACAUCCUUAUGGAAAGAAUGCAAUGAUAUUGAAAAGAUGGAACUAACCCUGGAACAAGGACAGCCUGUGCAUAUGAACAAAAUCAUGGGUGAGUCAAGAUGUCUAAGUGUAACCUGUGACCGAAAAUCACAUUUGUGCUGCAUCCCCGGCCCAACUACGUAUACACGAUGUGCGGGUAGAAACGAAACCUGUGAAGAUAAAUGGAAAACCUUUUGUGGCAAAGAUGGUCGCCCCACAUGCGAGGAGAAGGGAAACAUAUCCCUAUGUCGUUGUUUGUACACACACCGCUCGCACUGAAAACCAUGAAAUCUGGGCAUCUGUUUUCUGGUCAUCGGCACGUAUAGGCUGACUCCACUGGUUGUUUAUAUUAUCUGAAUUUUCGUUGUCUCGGCACAACUCCACCAGCACAGUUGCGAGUUGGCUCUUCAGCUAAGAUGUCAAAGCACUGAAUAGUAAUAUGAAAUAUUUAACUCGUUUCAUAAGAGACAAUAAAUAGAAAACUGAACGAAUUAUGCCAGA
This is a long non-coding RNA of Dermacentor albipictus, 886 nucleotides long. RefSeq lists it as uncharacterized. The record is from RefSeq and is a predicted model, not a curated record. Lineage: Eukaryota; Metazoa; Arthropoda; Arachnida; Ixodida; Ixodidae.